CAGUCGCCGCGGUAAUACGUAGGGUGCGAGCGUUGUCCGGAAUUAUUGGGCGUAAAGAGCUUGUAGGCGGUCUGUCGCGUCUGCUGUGAAAACCCGAGGCUCAACCUCGGGCCUGCAGUGGGUACGGGCAGACUAGAGUGCGGUAGGGGAGAACGGAACUCCUGGUGUAGCGGUGGAAUGCGCAGAUAUCAGGAAGAACACCGAUGGCGAAGGCAGUUCUCUGGGCCGUAACUGACGCUGAGGCACGAAAGCGUGGGGAGCAAACAGGAUUAGAUACCCCGGUAGUCCCUGUCUCUUAUAC
Molecule: ribosomal RNA, 301 nt
Filed under: uncultured bacterium
Lineage: Bacteria
Description: partial 16S ribosomal RNA
Rfam family: Bacterial small subunit ribosomal RNA
Source: RNAcentral